GUAUAUGCACAUGUUUCGUACGCAAAUAGAGAGGAUUUUUUACCAUUCUUGAUAAGUAUCUUGAGGUACCAGAAAUUUAGUGUAAAAAGAUAAUAAAUUUUUACGCUGAAAAAUAUGGUAACGUUUAAGUACUUUUUAAGGAUGGUAGAUUAUCUCCAAAUAGAAGAUUUGAUGUACAUAUGAUCAAGGUACAUAUAUAUGUGGAUGGAUGGAGAUGGAUGCAGUUCUUUCUUCUGCUUGUGUAUUGACUUGAUUUGUAUCUUCUAGCUUAUCAUGACGAGAAGAUUUACACGUACUAUAUAUAAUAUCACACACUUGUAUAUACGAGUGAAUAUGAAUAUAUAAAUGAAUUUCUCCCCAAG
This 362-nucleotide long non-coding RNA is filed under the name Oryza brachyantha (malo sina). Its description in RNAcentral is "long non-coding RNA (OBRA_LNC001348)". The record is from RNAcentral. Lineage: Eukaryota; Viridiplantae; Streptophyta; Magnoliopsida; Poales; Poaceae.